Heterocephalus glaber (naked mole-rat) is the source of this 161-nucleotide non-coding RNA. NCBI's taxonomy places the organism in Eukaryota, Metazoa, Chordata, Mammalia, Rodentia, Bathyergidae. The record is from Rfam.
AUACUUAGCUGGCCGGGGAGAUACGAUUCCAUGGUCACAAAGGUGGUUUUCUCUGGGUAUCCAGGCUUAUCCACUGCAUUCUGGACGUGCUGACUCAGUGACUUCCUCAAAUGUAGGAAACUCAGUCGCAUAGUUUGUGGUUGUGGAGGACUACUCUCCUG